ACAGUGGACGCGAGCAUCUUUGUUGUAAGUAAUGAAGAGCGUACGGUGGAUGCCUUGGCACCAGGAGCCGAUGAAGGACGUAGGAGGCUGCGAUAAGCCUCGGGGAGCUGUCAACCGAGCUGUGAUCCGAGGGUGUCCGAAUGGGGAAACCCAGCACGAGUGAUGUCGUGUUACCUGCACCUGAAUAUAUAGGGUGUGUGGAGGGAACGUGGGGAAGUGAAACAUCUCAGUACCCACAGGAAGAGAAAACAAUAGUGAUUCCGUGAGUAGUGGCGAGCGAAAGCGGAUGAGGCCAAACUUUGUGCGUGUGAUACCCGGCAGGGGUUGCGUAUGGAGGGUUGUGGGGUUUGCAUUGUCGAUUCUGCCGGAUCGGCCGACAGUGAGAAAUUGUGGUGUUAGUCGAAGUGGUCUGGAACGGCCUGUCGUAGAGGGUGAGAGUCCCGUAGACGAAAACAUUGCAACUGUCGUUGUGGAUACCCAAGUAGCAGCGGGCCCGUGAAAUCUGCUGUGAAUCUGUCGGGACCACCCGAUAAGCCUGAAUACUCCCUGGUGACCGAUAGCGGACUAGUACCGUGAGGGAAAGGUGAAAAGUACCCCGGGAGGGGAGUGAAAUAGUACCUGAAACCGUGCGCUUACAAUCCGUCAAAGCUGGUGAACAGUUUACUGUUGCUGGUGAUGGCGUGCCUUUUGAAGAAUGAGCCUGCGAGUUAGUGGCAUGUCGCGAGGUUAACCCGUGUGGGGUAGCCGUAGCGAAAGCGAGUCCGAAUAGGGCGUAUCCACCUUGUGUGGUGUAGUGGCGUGUUCUAGACCCGAAGCGGAGUGAUCUACCCAUGGCCAGGUUGAAGCGACGGUAAGACGUCGUGGAGGACCGAACCCACUUAGGUUGAAAACUGAGGGGAUGAGUUGUGGGUAGGGGUGAAAGGCCAAUCAAACUCCGUGAUAGCUGGUUCUCCCCGAAAUGCAUUUAGGUGCAGCGUCACGUGUUUCUCGCCGGAGGUAGAGCUACUGGAUGGUCUAGGGGGCCUACAAGCUUACCGAAAUCAGCCAAACUCCGAAUGCCGGUGAGUGAGAGCGUGGCAGUGAGACUGCGGGCGAUAAGGUUCGUAGUCGAGAGGGAAACAGCCCAGAUCGCCAGCUAAGGUCCCUAAGCGUGUACUAAGUGGAAAAGGAUGUGGGGUCGCGAAGACAACCAGGAGGUUGGCUUAGAAGCAGCCACCCUUGAAAGAGUGCGUAAUAGCUCACUGGUCAAGUGAUCCUGCGCCGACAAUGUAGCGGGGCUCAAGUACACCACCGAAGCUGCGGCACUCACACAACAGCCCCAUGCAAGUCUGCGGAUUUGUGUGCAGGUGUGUGGGUGGGUAGGGGAGCGUCGUGCAGCCAUGGAAGCAUCGGAGUGAUCCAGGUGUGGAGGCUGCGCGAGUGAGAAUGCAGGCAUGAGUAGCGAAAGACGAGUGAGAAACUCGUCCGCCGAAUGACCAAGGGUUCCUGGGCCAGGUUAAUCCGCCCAGGGUGAGUCGGGACCUAAGACGAGGCGACAGGCGUAGCCGAUGGACAACGGUUGAUAUUCCCGUACCCGUGUAACCGCGCCCAUGGUGAAUCAGUGACACUAACCACCCUGAAUCCACGUGACUGAUCUCUUUCGAGAGUGAGGCGUGUGGUGGAUGCGUGGGACCUGAUCUGGUAGUAGCCAAGCGAUGGGUGACGCAGGAAGGUAGCUGGGCCAGUCAGUGGUUGUACUGGUGUAAGCCUGUAGGGCGAACGGUAGGCAAAUCCGCCGUUCAUCAAGCCUGAGAGGUGAUGCGUAGCCGAUUGAGGCGAAUUCAGUGAUCCUAUGCUGCCGAGAAAAGCCUCUAGUGAGUUGUUACACGGCCCGUACCCCAAACCGACACAGGUGGUCAGGUAGAGAAUACUAAGGCGAUCGAGAUAACUAUGGUUAAGGAACUCGGCAAAAUGCCCCCGUAACUUCGGGAGAAGGGGGCCCUGUCCGGUGAUCACUCUUGCAGUGUGAGCUGGGUGGGGCCGCAGAGACCAGUGAGAAGCGACUGUUUACUAAAAACACAGGUCCGUGCGAAGUCGUAAGACGAUGUAUACGGACUGACGCCUGCCCGGUGCUGGAAGGUUAAGAGGACCGGUUAGCCAGUGAGGCGAAGCUGAGAAUUUAAGCCCCAGUAAACGGCGGUGGUAACUAUAACCAUCCUAAGGUAGCGAAAUUCCUUGUCGGGUAAGUUCCGACCUGCACGAAUGGCGUAACGACUUCUCAGCUGUCUCAACCAUAGACUCGGCGAAAUUGCAUUACGAGUAAA
RNAcentral lists this ribosomal RNA (2303 nucleotides) under Rhodococcus sp. SBT000017. RNAcentral describes it as "bacterial LSU rRNA". It matches the Rfam family "Bacterial large subunit ribosomal RNA", at positions 1 to 2057 of the family's 2925-position model. Lineage: Bacteria; Bacillati; Actinomycetota; Actinomycetes; Mycobacteriales; Nocardiaceae. The record is from RNAcentral.